CCUACGGGAGGCAGCAGUGAGGAAUAUUGGUCAAUGGACGAGAGUCUGAACCAGCCAAGUAGCGUGAAGGAUGACUACCCUAUGGGUUGUAAACUUCUUUUAUAAAGGAAUAAAACGAGGCACGUGUGCCUUUUUGCAUGUACUUUAUGAAUAAGGAUCGGCUAACUCCGUGCCAGCAGCCGCGGUAAUACGGAGGAUCCGAGCGUUAUCCGGAUUUAUUGGGUUUAAAGGGAGCGUAGAUGGGUUGUUAAGUCAGUUGUGAAAUUUUGCGGCUCAACCGUAAAAUUGCAAUUGAUACUGGCAGUCUUGAGUACAGUUGAGGUAAGCGGAAUUCGUGGUGUAGCGGUGAAAUGCUUAGAUAUCACGAAGAACCCCGAUUGCGAAGGCAGCUUACUAAACUGUGACUGACAUUGAUGCUCGAAAGUGUGGGUAUCAAACAGGAUUAGAUACCCCUGUAGUC
Molecule: ribosomal RNA, 460 nt
Filed under: uncultured bacterium
Lineage: Bacteria
Description: partial 16S ribosomal RNA
Rfam family: Bacterial small subunit ribosomal RNA
Source: RNAcentral